RNAcentral lists this ribosomal RNA (372 nucleotides) under uncultured Glomeromycotina. RNAcentral's name for it is "LSU rRNA". Lineage: Eukaryota; Fungi; Glomeromycota. The record is from RNAcentral.
UUGAAAGGGAAACGAUUGAAGUCAGUCGUACCGGCGGGUAAUCAGCCUUUUGGGUGUGAUUAUGUGGAGCGUGAGGAGUUAAUCACCCUCAUCUUUGCAUAUUCGUGCACUUUGGGUGUACUUGCUCGUGUGGUAGGUUAACAUCAAUUUUGAUCAUCAUAAAAUGAUUGGAGGAAUGUAGCUUCGAUCUCGUAUUGAAGUGUUAUAGCCUUUGGUAGAUGUGAUGAUCGGGAUUGAGGAUUGCAACGGAUACCCUUCGGGGCUACCCGUCUGAUCUCUGAAAGUUGCUCUGGUGCUGAAAGCUUGCUUAUGGUAUCAAAGUUGACGUUCAAUAGGUUAGAACGGGAUAAAUUCGUUAAGGAUGUUGACGUA